UACGAAGGGUGCAAACGUUGCUCGGAAUUAUUGGGCGUAAAGCGCACGUAGGCGGCAUUGCAAGUCGGAUGUGAAAUCUUAUGGCUUAACCAUAAAAGUGCAUCCGAAACUGCAGUGCUUGAGUACUUAAGAGGAUCGCGGAAUUCCCGGUGUAGAGGUGAAAUUCGUAGAUAUCGGGAGGAACACCAGUGGCGAAGGCGACUACCUGGCCUGUUCUUGACGCUGAGGCGCGAAAGCUAGGGGAGCAAACGGG
This 253-nucleotide ribosomal RNA is filed under the name uncultured bacterium. RNAcentral describes it as "partial 16S ribosomal RNA". It matches the Rfam family "Bacterial small subunit ribosomal RNA", at positions 524 to 776 of the family's 1533-position model. The record is from RNAcentral.